RNAcentral lists this ribosomal RNA (597 nucleotides) under uncultured fungus. RNAcentral's name for it is "eukaryotic LSU rRNA". The stretch from base 156 to 309 matches the Rfam family "5.8S ribosomal RNA". Lineage: Eukaryota; Fungi. The record is from RNAcentral.
UGCGGAAGGAUCAUUAUAGAUUCUUUUGGCUGUGCGCCGCGAGGCCGCACGUCGAAAUCCAAUCACACACACCCGUGCACUUCGGUCGUGGUAAAACGCGGCCGCCUUCACAUUUAACAAGUAAAACCCGAAUGUAACAAACCAUAAAAUAAUACAACUUUUAACAACGGAUCUCUUGGCUCUCGCAUCGAUGAAGAACGCAGCGAAAUGCGAUACGUAAUGUGAAUUGCAGAAUUCAGUGAAUCAUCGAAUCUUUGAACGCACCUUGCGCCCUUUGGUAUUCCGAAGGGCAUGCCUGUUUGAGUGUCAUUAAAUUAUCAACCUUGCUCGCUUUUACCGGCUUGAGUUAGGCUUGGACUUGAGGGCUUGCUGGCUUCCUUCAGUGGACGGUCUGCUCCCUUUAAAUGCAUUAGUGGGAUCUCUUGUGGACCGUCACUUGGUGUGAUAAUUAUCUAUGCCACCUUGACCCUUGAAGCAAACCCUUAUGGGAACCCGCUCAUAACCGUCUUCGGACAGCUUUUGACAUUUUGACCUCAAUCAGGCGGGACUACCCCGCUGAACUUAAGCAUAUCAAUAAGCGGAGGAAAAGAAACUAAA